This is a long non-coding RNA of Mesocricetus auratus (golden hamster), 2344 nucleotides long. RefSeq lists it as uncharacterized. NCBI's taxonomy places the organism in Eukaryota, Metazoa, Chordata, Mammalia, Rodentia, Cricetidae. The record is from RefSeq and is a predicted model, not a curated record. The transcript is spliced from 5 exons.
UGUAGGUGGGUAGCUGGAAUCUGCAGGGAGCAGGGAGGACUCAGAUGGGAAUGCAGAAGGAGGAGCUCCCCUGUGGGAAUCGAUUCCUCCCUUUUCCCCUCCUGGGCUUUCUCUCGGGACUCUUUUGUCCAGGGAUUGGCAGACUGGAGGCUACAAUUCCAAAUGUCAAUCACAUCCACCUAGGGUCAUGGUCGUAGGGACGUGUCUACUCCAGUUGGGAGAGGACAUUAAACUCUGAAGCAGGGAUGCUGUGAGCUCCUCUUAGACCUCCGGGGCCCUCAGUCAGAGCCUGGUGCGUUCCCAUAUCCUCCCCACUCCGAAGGUGUCGGCCCUGUAGCGUGUGCUAGCCUCGUGGACAGCUUACCCUUGGAGUGAAAGCAGCACCCGCCCCUAAAAAGAAGGACAGCGACACGAACUGGUGCUCAUUAACAAGUGCUAAUGAGUGUUAGCCGAGCUGCCUUCGAAAGGAGAGCAAAAGAGAAGGAGUGAAGCUGCUACUGAAAGGGUGAACGCCAAAGUGAGGUCCAGGGGCAAACGAGGCAGCCACUGUUUCCAGAAUAGCAGCUGGGGCACCCAAGGCACCUGCCAGUCGUCAAGAGUUCGCCGCCAAGAAUCCUGUGUGUGGUCUGGGCUAAAUGGAAAAGCAGAUACUGGUAUCAACAUGGGGUACCAGGGCCUUUGUGUGUCAGAUGCCAUGUUCCUGGGCAAUAUCCUGGAAGUACUCCUUAGACCUUGGCCACUAGAGUCACGUAUCAAGUCUCCCAGUGUCCAGAAGUCCUCCAGUGACUAGAUUAGGCCUUGCUUUUUGGAUCCUUCCUGCCAUCCCACUGACUGUACCCUCUGAGGACUGUCACUGACGCAAGGACACGAUAUUGCCUCUUUGGUCUUCAUAAUGGUCAGGCCUGGCUACCAGGGUGCCAGAGAGCUGGCCUUGCUUCCCAGAAAGAAGGAUGAAAGGGAUGCAGGAGCGCAGCAGUUUCCAUGGAAACAGCUCGAGGUGGUGAUGAGAAUAAAGUCCAGAGAAACCCAGAGAGAUCACGACCAAGGUAUCAAGCCCCAAAGUGGAGGGAGCUGCUGGGAUUGCGUCCCACUUUUCAGGUUGGCAUGAGGCUGUGAGGUCUGGGAUUGCUGCAGCCAUCUUGAAGACUCCAGAGUGGCCAUAUACGGGACAAAGAGCAGAGACUGAGGGUCAAGCCAUCCUUGCAAAAGACAGGAUGGAGCGACUGAAAAACAUGGGGUCACAGACGACAUCAUUUGAGCUGCUGGAUCAAGCUGAGCCUGAAGUACGCUGGGACUUUUUGGUUAAUGAGUCAAUAUAUACCUAGCAGUGAAGCCCUCUUAAGGCAGCUUGCUUUCGUUUCUUUUCUUUUACUUUUUUAAUACAACCCCCAAAGACCAAGGUGAUCUAGGAAGGGAACAACUGUCCUCAUGGAGCUGGAACUGGGGAACAUUUAGGAACCAAAGCCUCUCUCUUUUCUCUUAGAGAACCAGGCAAGGCCAAACUUCACAGGUCCUCUGACUCUAAUUUUCCCUCUAAUGAGGAACACCUGUCUCAUAACCUCUCCUGUCACAGUCACCAGUCUCAAAGCCCACAGCAUCCAUUCCCCUAGCAGAAGGGCCUCUUGGUCGCUUUAGUCCAAAUUCCCCAGGAAUGAGUCAGAUUGGUCAAGCUCACAUUUACAUGGGAGCCAUUCCCAUGUCAAACAGCUCAACAGACAGUGGGACACGCUCUCUGGAAGCACAGGUCAAACUACUCUGAUGCAUGAGGCAGGGGACUGAAAUAGGGGCUUGGCAUUUUUUUUUUUUUGGCAUGGGAAGAUGGUUUAGCCAUUAAGAGCAUUUGUUGCUCUUGGAGAGACUGGUUCUAAUGCUCAAUGGGUUUGUGUUCCUGCCUUUCUUGCAGUCAGUAACUGUGGUCUCUGGUGAGCUGGGCAAGGAUUCCUUGAUCGUGGGAGAGGUCGCUCAGUGGUUAGGGAUGCUUGCUGCUCUUGCAGAGGACCUAAAUUCAGUUCCCAAGACCCAUGUUGGGUGGUUCACAAAUUCCUGCAGUAUCAGCCACAGGAGAACCCAUGCCCUCUUGUGGCCUUUUCAGGCACUGCGCCCACAUGCUUAUAGCCACACAGACAUACACACAAAUCAUAAAAAAUAAACAUAAAGGGCCAUAUUAUAUACACAUACACAAAUAUAAACACACAUAUGUAUACAUAUACAUAUAUGUGGGUGUGUAUAUGUAUUUAUUUGGCCUUUUGGAUUAUAGGGAUUCUGUCACUGUAGCACAGAAACAGCCAUAGGCAAAUGAGUAAACAAAAGAACACAGAUCUGUAUUAAUAAAACGUUCACCCCA